Molecule: ribosomal RNA, 255 nt
Filed under: uncultured bacterium
Lineage: Bacteria
Description: partial 16S ribosomal RNA
Rfam family: Bacterial small subunit ribosomal RNA
Source: RNAcentral
AACGAACGCUGGCGGCAGGCCUAACACAUGCAAGUCGAACGCCGUAGCAAUACGGAGUGGCAGACGGGUGAGUAACACGUGGGAACGUACCCUUCGGUUCGGGAGUAACUCAGGGAAACUUGAGCUAAUACCGGAUACGUCCGAGAGGAGAAAGAUUUAUUGCCGAGGGAUCGGCCCGCGUCUGAUUAGCUUGUUGGUGAGGUAACGGCUCACCAAGGCGACGAUCAGUAGCUGGUCNGAGAGGAUGAUCAGCCA